RNAcentral lists this small RNA (128 nucleotides) under Pantoea sp. SM3640. Its description in RNAcentral is "RtT sRNA". It matches the Rfam family "RtT RNA". Rfam says of the family: This family represents a bacterial cis-regulatory element known as RtT RNA. The exact function of RtT is unknown although it is thought that it may be involved in changing the cellular response in relation to amino acid starvation. Lineage: Bacteria; Pseudomonadati; Pseudomonadota; Gammaproteobacteria; Enterobacterales; Erwiniaceae. The record is from RNAcentral.
AUAUUGCAUUGCGAGAGGGGGUGAGAACCCCCGCCGGGGUUCGACAACAUGCGCAGCAUGCUGGACAGCGGAGCCUGCGACGCUGCCCGCAGGGUGAGCGAACCGAAUCCAUCCCCCUCUCACCGCCA